UACGGAGGGUGCGAACGUUAAUCGGAAUCACUGGGCGUAAAGCGCGCGUAGGCGGCCUGGUAAGUGGGAUGUGAAAUCCCCGGGCUUAACCUGGGAAUUGCAUUUCAAACUGGCCGACUAGAGUACGGUAGAGGGAGGUAGAAUUUCCUGUGUAGCGGUGAAAUGCGUAGAUAUAGGAAGGAAUACCAGUGGCGAAGGCGGCCUCCUGGAUCGAUGCUGACGCUGAGGCGCGAAAGCGUGGGGAGCAAACAGG
Molecule: ribosomal RNA, 253 nt
Filed under: uncultured bacterium
Lineage: Bacteria
Description: partial 16S ribosomal RNA
Rfam family: Bacterial small subunit ribosomal RNA
Source: RNAcentral